RNAcentral lists this microRNA (21 nucleotides) under Dictyostelium discoideum. Its description in RNAcentral is "ddi-miR-7131d". Lineage: Eukaryota; Evosea; Eumycetozoa; Dictyosteliales; Dictyosteliaceae. The record is from miRBase by way of RNAcentral.
ACCACAUUAAUUUCAGCAGCC